GAUCUUGGUUCAGGAUGAACGCUGGCGGCGUGCUUAACACAUGCAAGUCGAACGGGCUUAAGAUGAAGCUUGCUUAGUCUAAGUUAGUGGCGGACGGGUGAGUAACGCGUGGGUAACCUACCCUGUGCAGGGGGAUAGCAGCUGGAAACGGCUGAUAAAACCGCAUAACACGGUAGCACCGCAUGGUGCAGCCGUCAAAUAUUUAUAGGCACAGGAUGGGCCCGCGUCUGAUUAGCUAGUUGGCGGGGCAACGGCCCACCAAGGCGACGAUCAGUAGCCGGCCUGAGAGGGUGAACGGCCACAUUGGGACUGAGACACGGCCCAAACUCCUACGGGAGGCAGCAGUGGGGAAUAUUGGACAAUGGGGGGAACCCUGAUCCAAGCGACGCCGCGUAAGUGAAGAAGUAUUUCGGUAUGUAAAGCUCUAUCAGCAGGGAAGAUGAUGACGGUACCUGACUAAGAAGCACCGGCUAAAUACGUGCCAGCCGCCGC
RNAcentral lists this ribosomal RNA (492 nucleotides) under uncultured bacterium. Its description in RNAcentral is "bacterial SSU rRNA". It matches the Rfam family "Bacterial small subunit ribosomal RNA", at positions 15 to 518 of the family's 1533-position model. The record is from RNAcentral.